GGGGUUGUGGCUCAGUGGUAGAGCGCAUACCUAGCACAUGUAAGGCACUAGGUUCAAUCCUCAGUUAAUCUCA
Molecule: transfer RNA, 73 nt
Filed under: Ictidomys tridecemlineatus (thirteen-lined ground squirrel)
Lineage: Eukaryota; Metazoa; Chordata; Mammalia; Rodentia; Sciuridae
Description: Spermophilus tridecemlineatus (thirteen-lined ground squirrel) tRNA
Rfam family: tRNA
About the family: Transfer RNA (tRNA) molecules are approximately 80 nucleotides in length. Their secondary structure includes four short double-helical elements and three loops (D, anti-codon, and T loops).
Source: Rfam by way of RNAcentral